GAACGUAUAGCUCAAGUGGUAGAGUGCAUGCUUAGCAUGCAUGAGGUCCUACGUUCA
This 57-nucleotide transfer RNA is filed under the name Camelus bactrianus (Bactrian camel). It matches the Rfam family "tRNA", at positions 1 to 55 of the family's 71-position model. Rfam says of the family: Transfer RNA (tRNA) molecules are approximately 80 nucleotides in length. Their secondary structure includes four short double-helical elements and three loops (D, anti-codon, and T loops). RNAcentral also lists the same sequence under 1 other name. The record is from Rfam by way of RNAcentral. Lineage: Eukaryota; Metazoa; Chordata; Mammalia; Artiodactyla; Camelidae.